UGGGGAAUAUUGCACAAUGGGCGCAAGCCUGAUGCAGCCAUGCCGCGUGUAUGAAGAAGGCCUUCGGGUUGUAAAGUACUUUCAGUCGGGAGGAAGGUGGUAAGGUUAAUAACCUUAUCAAUUGACGUUACCGACAGAAGAAGCACCGGCUAACUCCGUGCCAGCAGCCGCGGUAAUACGGAGGGUGCAAGCGUUAAUCGGAAUUACUGGGCGUAAAGCGCACGCAGGCGGUUGAUUGAGUCAGAUGUGAAAUCCCCGGGCUUAACCCGGGAAUUGCAUCUGAUACUGGUCAGCUAGAGUCUUGUAGAGGGGGGUAGAAUUCCAUGUGUAGCGGUGAAAUGCGUAGAGAUGUGGAGGAAUACCGGUGGCGAAGGCGGCCCCCUGGACAAAGACUGACGCUCAGGUGCGAAAGAGUGGGGAGCAAACAGG
RNAcentral lists this ribosomal RNA (429 nucleotides) under Chloroflexota bacterium. Its description in RNAcentral is "Chloroflexi bacterium partial 16S ribosomal RNA". It matches the Rfam family "Bacterial small subunit ribosomal RNA", at positions 355 to 776 of the family's 1533-position model. Lineage: Bacteria; Bacillati; Chloroflexota. The record is from RNAcentral.